Molecule: RNA transcript, 2141 nt
Organism: Equus quagga
Lineage: Eukaryota; Metazoa; Chordata; Mammalia; Perissodactyla; Equidae
Gene: NME9
Gene name: NME/NM23 family member 9
Exons: 12
Source: RefSeq, a predicted model, not a curated record
UGAGGUCCGUGUACCUGUCGAGAGAUCGUUCACAGUGGUUCAGCUUCCCGGGAAUACACUGGAACAAGCCAUGGGCAGCAAGAAGGAAAUUGCCUUGCAGGUCAACAUCAGCACCCAGGAGCUUUGGGAGGAAAUGCUCAGUUCCAAAGGAUUAACUGUGGUCGACGUCUAUCAAGGCUGGUGCGGCCCCUGCAAACCCGUGGUGAGCCUCUUCCAGAAGAUGAGGAUUGAGGUUGGCCUGGACCUGCUGCAUUUUGCAUUAGCGGAGGCAGACUGUCUUGAUGUCCUCGAAAGAUACCGCGGGCGGUGUGAGCCGACCUUUCUGUUUUAUGCAGGAGGAGAACUGGUGGCCGUGGUUCGCGGCGCAAACGCCCCCCUGCUGCAGAGAACCAUCCUGGACCAGCUGGAGGCCGAAAAGAAGGUGCUGGCUGAAGGCAGAGAACGGAGGGUGAUUAAAGAUGAGGCUCUUUCUGAUGAAGAUGAACAUUCUUCUCAUGAAAAGGACGAUGGUGAAGAUGAGGAUGUGGUUUCAGCAGAGAAGACCUGCACCUUGGCCAUCAUUAAACCAGAUGCGGUGGUCCACGGCAAGACCGAUGAGAUUAUUAUGAAGAUCCAGGAAGCCGGCUUCGACAUUUUAACAGAUGAAGAGAGAACCUUGACAGAGGCAGAAAUGCGACUUUUCUACGACCGCAGAGCUGGAGAGGAGGCAUUUGAGAAACUGGUACAUCACAUGUGCAGUGGACCAAGCCACCUCCUGAUCCUCACCAGGACUGAGGGUGUCGAGGACGUGGUUACUGCCUGGCGAACCCUCAUGGGGCCCUGUGACCCUGAGGUGGCAAGGAGGGAGCAGCCUGACAGUCUCCGCGCUCGGUAUGGCACAGAAAUGCCCUUCAAUGCGGUCCAUGGAAGCCAGGACAGAGAAGACGCCAGCCGAGAACUGGCACUGCUCUUCCCCGGUUUUAAGUUUUCAGAUGAAGUGCCAGAAGCCCCUCGGGGUAAGUCACCAAGGCGGACUGGCCUUCAUGAAACCUGCAGGGAGUGAGCGGGGCUGACAAUAACUCUGUGGUGACCCCGUCUUCAGAUGAGUGAGGUCCUGUUUGGGAGACGGGCUCUUACAUACCUGUAGCUGCAGUCCUCAUCUGUUCUGUGUUUUUAUAGACUAAGUGCUGCUUUUUAAUAUCGCCAUUACAUUUUUUGCUCCAUUCUUACUCUGGAGCCGUAUUUUCGUUGCAAAGUUACUUUGCAUUUUCCUGUGGAAACCACUGGGAAAUGUAACUAACUUUCUGGAAGCCUACUUCGAAGCCAUUCGGAGGCCAGAUCUCACCCCUCACUUCCUCUGCGCUCCGUGUGCCCCACACUAAGCCCUUGGUGGGGAUGCUGAGAAGCGGAGGGACACAGAAGGGGUCUCUGCCGGAGCUUGCUGUGACUCUCGGAUCAGCCCCCACAGUUUGGGAAAAGCAUGCUGGGUCCAGGCUCCAAAUCUGGGUGAUAAUGAGCAAAGAGGACAAUUCCAGAUGCAUCUGAGCCCAGACCACAUCCCGGGAAUAAGUCACAGCCUCCUGUGGGCAUGAACUUGCAGCAGCCUCGGUGGGAUUGCUGAUGCUCUGCCCAUUUGUUUGAGGUGCCGUGUCUUCUCAGUUGUCAGGAGCAGAGUGUGUGUUCAAUGUACCCGGCACUUUUCCUGCUAAGGGGCAGGGGUCAGGGCACUGGAGACACAACCCUGGGUUUGAAUCCUGGCUCCACUCUUUACCAGCCCAAUAGCCUGGGGAAAGUAAGUUACCUUCUUUGGGCCUCAGUUCCCUCAUCUGUGAAAUGGAGAUAAGGAUAGACCCGUUACAGCCCAUAGUAAUCAUCUUCCUCCAGGGCUGUUGUGAAGAUGGGAGGAGAGGGAGGAGAGGUUCUCAGCCCGGUGCCUGGCGCUUAGUAAGUGCUCCACAAAUGUUGCCCUUCUCCUCAUUCUUUCAUUCCUGGUCCCUGAUACGCGUACUAGGACCUCUCUUUGCUGUCCCUUCCGCCCUGACCCCUCACUUCAUCAUCUGUGAAGUAGUUAGAUGCCCUUUUCCUGUUUCUUUGUGGAUGGUGUGUGGGACAGAGGACUGGGACAGGGCUGUGUUUCAGAAAUCCUACAGAACAUCUGUCAU